Molecule: long non-coding RNA, 796 nt
Organism: Tripterygium wilfordii
Lineage: Eukaryota; Viridiplantae; Streptophyta; Magnoliopsida; Celastrales; Celastraceae
Exons: 2
Source: RefSeq, a predicted model, not a curated record
ACACCAUUGUAAGUGCUCUAACCCUAACCCUAACCCUAACCCUUUCGAUUUCCCCUCAUCUUAGACUACCUCGGUUCGAUCCUCUGUCCUCUCAGCCGGGACCUGUUCAUCGUUCCUCCUCUUCCACUCAGUUGUUCCGGGAUACCGACGCGUUUAAUCCAUUCGUCUUUCUGCAGAACUACCCCAAGACCCUCCGUGCCGGCGGUGCUAGUAUUCUAUUCGUCAUUGAGAACAACUCCGGCGGUGGACGGUUGGACCCCAGUGGAUUCGGUGCUGGUGCUGCUGUCCGACUUGGCAGUCCAGCAUUGUAAUUCGGACAAUGAGUCAUGACGAUAAAAGAAGCAAUGAUUUUGGCCAUCUUGCUCUCACUUUUCAGGGACUGAUGGUGGUUUGCAUCUGCAACGAAAGUUCAGUUUAGUUUGCAUGGUUCUUUUCUUUGGGAAGUAGUAGUACAUUGGGACUUUAUGGUGCAGUUAGAAGACCUUGUGGAAAUAGACAAGUCAGCGUUUCUCCAAGUACAGAUUAAAUUUGACACAAAAAGAAACAGGAGGAGUUAAGCAGCAUAUAUAGUGUUUUUUUUUUUUGAGGUUACUGCAAUGGAAAUGAGAUUCACUCAUUGAAGGAUUGGUGUGAUCUUGAGUUCAAGUAGAGUUGGUUUGAGUUUUGAGAGUGAUGAUACUUGGGUUCAAUGGGAUUAUAUUCACACCUAACUUUCGUGAAUUGAUAAUGGUGGAAUUGACUGAAGGUGACUACUAUAUAUAAAUAAAAAAGAACAAUGGUUGGUAUUUGCUCGAAA